Daktulosphaira vitifoliae (grape phylloxera) is the source of this 632-nucleotide long non-coding RNA. RefSeq lists it as uncharacterized. The record is from RefSeq and is a predicted model, not a curated record. The transcript has 5 exons. Lineage: Eukaryota; Metazoa; Arthropoda; Insecta; Hemiptera; Phylloxeridae.
CACCUAUUUAUUAUAAUCUAAUAAACAAUUCUAUCGAAAUACACAUUAAGUAAAAACAAUAUAUUCAUUAAGUUUAUUAUUACUUAAGAACAUUCACUUUAAUCGAAUAGAUAGCAGGCAAAUUAUUUCUCUGAACAAUUUAAAGGGUAUGAAGAACAUUUUGACUUAUUCAUAGUAAAAUUCAAGUUCAAACAAUUUUGAACAGAAACAGUAUAGUUAAACUUUGAUUUUUAUAAAUUAUUAAUAGAAUUUGUAUAAUCUUAUACGAGGUGUAUUAUUCCCAUAAGGGGACCUUAUCAGCUGCUGUAAAAUAAGGAGUAGCCGGUUCAGUUGUACGUUUGCCAAGGGAGUACUUAGGAGCGUUAUUAUACUGUACAAGUGUGGAAUCAUUGGACCGACCAAGAAUUGAAUAUUGCGGUACUGAUGGCAUAUUGGCAGCUCGUUUACCAAUGGUUCCAGAAAUUGUAUACGCGUUAGGUGCUGGCGUAGAGACCAAUUCAACAAGUACCUAAAUACUGAAGCACAAUGCAAUAUCAACUGAGCUAAGUAGGCUACCAAAUUAGAAUUUGUGUUUAAAAUUAUAUCAAUCAUUUUUUUUUUUAAUAAGAACGAUUUGAAAUAUUUAAUAUAUU